AUUUAUUCUCUUAUAAAUCUAGAACAAGAAAAGGAGAAAGACAGGGAUGGCAGAGUCUACUCUGAGAUGCCACGAGGCAGAGGUGGAGCAGAGAGAUCCUGUGGAGCCUCAAUAACAUAUGCAGCCUGUUGGACCUUUGUUGAGGCAACCUUUUCUCAGCGUCUCAGUGGUCUUCAGUUCUCAGCAAGCCACUGAAGUGGGCUUUUCUCUGCUUCUCACCACUGC
This 225-nucleotide long non-coding RNA is filed under the name Fukomys damarensis (Damara mole-rat). RNAcentral's name for it is "lncRNA (ENSFDAG00000025670.1)". The record is from RNAcentral. Lineage: Eukaryota; Metazoa; Chordata; Mammalia; Rodentia; Bathyergidae.